CCGACCUUAGCUCAGUUGGAAGAGCGCGAGACUGUAAUGGAUAAAAUCAUCUUGAGGUCGCCUGUUCGAGCCAGGCAGGUCGGA
RNAcentral lists this transfer RNA (84 nucleotides) under Boletus edulis. RNAcentral's name for it is "tRNA-Tyr". It matches the Rfam family "tRNA". Rfam says of the family: Transfer RNA (tRNA) molecules are approximately 80 nucleotides in length. Their secondary structure includes four short double-helical elements and three loops (D, anti-codon, and T loops). Lineage: Eukaryota; Fungi; Basidiomycota; Agaricomycetes; Boletales; Boletaceae. The record is from RNAcentral. RNAcentral also lists the same sequence under 5 other names.